CCUACGGGGGGCAGCAGUGGGGAAUAUUGCACAAUGGGCGAAACUCUGAUGCAGCGACGCCGCGUGAGUGAAGAAGUAUUUCGGUAUGUAAAGCUCUAUCAGCAGGGAAGAAAAUGACGGUACCUGAUUAAGAAGCCCCGGCUAACUACGCGACAGCAGCCGCGGUAAUACGUAGGGGGCAAGCGUUAUCCGGAUUUACUGGGUGUAAAGGGAGCGUAGACGGCAGCACAAGUCUGGAGUGAAAUGCCAGGGCUUAACCCCGGAACUGCUUUGUAUACUGUGCAGCUAGAGUGCAGGAGAGGUAAGUGGAAUUCAUAGUGUAGCGGUGAAAUGCGUAGAGAUUAGAAGGAACACCAGUGGCGAAGGCGGCUUACUGGACUGUAACUGACGUUGAGGCUCGAAAGCGUGGGGAGCAAACAGGAUUAGAUACCCGUGUAGUC
This 440-nucleotide ribosomal RNA is filed under the name uncultured bacterium. Its description in RNAcentral is "partial 16S ribosomal RNA". It matches the Rfam family "Bacterial small subunit ribosomal RNA", at positions 338 to 795 of the family's 1533-position model. The record is from RNAcentral.